Molecule: ribosomal RNA, 58 nt
Filed under: Histoplasma capsulatum
Lineage: Eukaryota; Fungi; Ascomycota; Eurotiomycetes; Onygenales; Ajellomycetaceae
Description: partial 28S ribosomal RNA
Source: RNAcentral
GGUUGACCUCGGAUCAGGUAGGGAUACCCGCUGAACUUAAGCAUAUCAAUAAAGCGGA